RNAcentral lists this ribosomal RNA (858 nucleotides) under Klebsiella pneumoniae. RNAcentral describes it as "partial 23S ribosomal RNA". It matches the Rfam family "Bacterial large subunit ribosomal RNA", at positions 419 to 1279 of the family's 2925-position model. RNAcentral also lists the same sequence under 1 other name. Lineage: Bacteria; Pseudomonadati; Pseudomonadota; Gammaproteobacteria; Enterobacterales; Enterobacteriaceae. The record is from RNAcentral.
GGGACACGUGGUAUCCUGUCUGAAUAUGGGGGGACCAUCCUCCAAGGCUAAAUACUCCUGACUGACCGAUAGUGAACCAGUACCGUGAGGGAAAGGCGAAAAGAACCCCGGCGAGGGGAGUGAAAAAGAACCUGAAACCGUGUACGUACAAGCAGUGGGAGCACCUUCGGGUGUGACUGCGUACCUUUUGUAUAAUGGGUCAGCGACUUAUAUUCUGUAGCAAGGUUAACCGUAUAGGGGAGCCGCAGGGAAACCGAGUCUUAACUGGGCGUUAAGUUGCAGGGUAUAGACCCGAAACCCGGUGAUCUAGCCAUGGGCAGGUUGAAGGUUGGGUAACACUAACUGGAGGACCGAACCGACUAAUGUUGAAAAAUUAGCGGAUGACUUGUGGCUGGGGGUGAAAGGCCAAUCAAACCGGGAGAUAGCUGGUUCUCCCCGAAAGCUAUUUAGGUAGCGCCUCGUGAACUCAUCUUCGGGGGUAGAGCACUGUUUCGGCUAGGGGGUCAUCCCGACUUACCAACCCGAUGCAAACUACGAAUACCGAAGAAUGUUAUCACGGGAGACACACGGCGGGUGCUAACGUCCGUCGUGAAGAGGGAAACAACCCAGACCGCCAGCUAAGGUCCCAAAGUCAUGGUUAAGUGGGAAACGAUGUGGGAAGGCACAGACAGCCAGGAUGUUGGCUUAGAAGCAGCCAUCAUUUAAAGAAAGCGUAAUAGCUCACUGGUCGAGUCGGCCUGCGCGGAAGAUGUAACGGGGCUAAACCAUGCACCGAAGCUGCGGCAGCGACACUAUGUGUUGUUGGGUAGGGGAGCGUUCUGUAAGCCUGCGAAGGUGUGCUGUGAGGCAUGCUGGAGG